This 434-nucleotide unclassified non-coding RNA is filed under the name Hevea brasiliensis (rubber tree). The record is from RNAcentral. Lineage: Eukaryota; Viridiplantae; Streptophyta; Magnoliopsida; Malpighiales; Euphorbiaceae.
AUUAGCAGGAACAAAGUAAGUGAAUGAAUAUAUGAUGUUGAAAAACAAUUAACUGUAUCCCUAAACGUAUUUUACUUUGAAUUGGUAGCCAUUCCAAGGGUUCUAGAAAAAUUAGAAACUUAAGCAACCAAGACUGAGAGUCCGUUUGGGAUUGAGGUUGAAAUUGUUCUUUUGUAAAAGCACUCUUUUAGAUGUUGAAAAAAACCGCUUGAAAAGUUGCUUUAUUGUUUUGAAGUUUUUAUGAUCAAAAUAUGCCAAAUUUAAAUUAACAUCAAAAUUUAAAAGUCUCGAAUAAAUACUUUUGAGACAAUGCUUUUCUCAAAAGCAGCUUAAACAAAAAUACCAAACAAACUUUGAAAAAAAAAAGUAACAAUUCACUUAUGCACUGUGAUAACCAUCACAUAAAAAAACCUGAGAAAAGCUUUCUGCGCAGA